Molecule: ribosomal RNA, 253 nt
Filed under: uncultured bacterium
Lineage: Bacteria
Description: partial 16S ribosomal RNA
Rfam family: Bacterial small subunit ribosomal RNA
Source: RNAcentral
UACGUAGGGACCGAGCGUUGUCCGGAAUCAUUGGGCGUAAAGAGCGUGUAGGCGGCUUGCUAAGUCUUGCGUGAAAUCUCGGGGCUCAACCCCGAGCGGUCGUGGGAAACUGGCAGGCUAGAGUGCGGAAGAGGCGAGUGGAAUUCCUGGUGUAGCGGUGAAAUGCGCAGAUAUCAGGAAGAACACCCGUGGCGAAGGCGGCUCUCUGGGACGGUACUGACGCUGAGACGCGAAAGCGUGGGGAGCGAACAGG